Molecule: long non-coding RNA, 2452 nt
Organism: Prunus dulcis (almond)
Lineage: Eukaryota; Viridiplantae; Streptophyta; Magnoliopsida; Rosales; Rosaceae
Exons: 3
Source: RefSeq, a predicted model, not a curated record
AUGAAAUACAUUUAUUACCCUUUUAACGUAAAAUUAGAAUUCUAAUCAACACCAGAUCAGAACUCAUUUCACGACAUCCGGUUUCUCAUCUUUAUCUUCAACCCCAAUUUUCAGUUUUUGUUCUUCCACUUCAAUCUCAUCAUUGUUCUUCCACCUCAGUUUUUGUUCAAUCUCUUUAUUCUAAGCUUCGUCGGAGGGCUCGCCUGGGCCACCAACAAUGAUGCGCUGGAGAUGGCAUUUUCUCCAUUCGAUCAUCAACGAACGUGAGAUCGGGAGGUCCAGGGGCUUCGGCUUCGGCUUCGGCUUCGGCUUCGUCACCUUCAGCAACGAGAACGCCAUGAGAGAAGCGAUCGAAGAUAUGAAAGACCAGAACUUCGACGGUCGUAACAGCACCGUCAACAAGGCCCAAACUUGUGGAAGCUAAAAUGAAAUGCUGUAAUAUGUAUGUGUCUGCAUGUAUAGUAUUUUGAGCUGUGGAUAAGGAAUUUUGAGAUUUUAGAUUUGCUGGCCAAGUUUCCUCCAAAUUCUGUGAAGAUGAAACAGCCAUUCUGUAUGCAACCUUGGGAUUCUUCUCCAGAGAUUGUCAAGAAACUGUUCAAGGUAUGUGAAUUUCAAGCUGUUGGAGGCCUGAUUUUGUUAAGUUCUUUUACAAAUAUAGGACAUCGUUCGUGAAAGAUGUCAUACGUUCUAUCUAUUAUUGCAUUUGCUUUUUCAUAUUUAUGAGGUCUGUUUUCUUAUUCAUGAUUAUACGACCUCUAAAAGCUUGGAAUAAUUAUUUUGUGCUCGCUGAUACUGCCUAAUGGUCUCUCAUUGUCAUUACUCUUACCAUUCUUCUUCAUCUACGCUCUCAUUGCAUAGAUUGAAGUCAUAGGUUGUUCUUGCAGAGAUGUUAUGAGAUUUGAUUAUCAACAGAUUUGUAUUCUGCAAGUUAAGUGCUAUCCAAAUUCCAAAAGGACGACCUUGGCUUUGAAAAGUGAAAAAAUUGUCUGUAUACUAUGGGUAAUGGGUUAGUUAGGUUCUGGGUCACAAUAAAAAAUAAGCCAGAAACUUCAAGGCACAGAAGAGUUGAUUGCAAACCGUGCAUCAAUUUGGCAAGUAGAGCUUUGCCAUCUGUUAUGUGAAUGGGAGGGGUUCAUUUGUCCAAUACAUUCCCAUAUUCCAAUUGGGUUGUAGCUUUGUCCAAUCAAUCUCAUGGCUUCGUAGGUGGUUCCGCCAUUUUAGUCCAACAAAUGAAAAAUUGAGACUUCAAUGGGUAAUCGAAAUUUGGUGUGGAAAUAUAUAGGCGGCUGUCAAUUUGGUGGAAUCAGUAAAGGUUUUUCCAUUCACAUAACAAAUCUGUCAUUACCCCGAAUAAUCUGUUUAUACCUCGGGGCAGAGCCCCAGUUGGAUAGAUUCAUUUUCCAUACUUAAGGACCUAAAUCAGAAAUUUUAGGUUUUACAUAUAACAUGUAGUGAUUGAAUGUUAAAGGAAAUAGUUUCUUCAGUUUUGUUUGUUGGCAUUAUCGUGCAUUCCUGAAUAACAACUGUUGAGCAUAUGUUUAUUUGUCUCCGCUUGUCUCUGGAAUUAUUUGCUUUAAUGACUAACAUGUGCAGGAGCCUUUAUUUACUUUCUUAUGGUGGUUUUAUUUAUGUUCUACAAUUAAUAAGCUUUAUCUGUUGUUGUAUAAACCUAUCUAUAAAUGUGAAAUUUGGUUUUUCAAAUUGAAUCUUCUGUUAUCUAGGAAAUGAGCCUUAUGGUGAAGUACGGUUUAUGUCCUGGUACUUUGAAGGGUGAAUUGUUUAGAGUUCUGCUAGAGCAAGGAAUUCAUGGGUUGAAAGUUUCUGAGUUGGCGAAGUCUCAUUGCAGGUCAUUUGGGUGUGUGUAUAUAUAUAUAUAUAUAUAUCACAACUGUUUUCUAAAGGCUCAUAUUUUGGAGAUAAGGUCAUUGUUACCACCAAGCACAAUGAUAAUGAGCAGUAUGUGUGGGAGCCGCUCCGAUUCAAUAUUUAUGGUAUCUGGAGUGAUUAUGCAAAUGAAAUAAUGUAAUUGAUUUUGAGUGGUAUGGAGUUGUACACUUUUAUCGUAUCGAUUAUGCAAAUGAAAUGAUGUAGUUGUUAACUUCCAGUAAAUGGUAUGAAUAGUAUAACAACUGUUUAUACCUUGCAACUAAGUUGAUUUCUAUGACAUAAUAUUAACAGAUUUUCAGUAACAUAGCGUGCUCUAUAUAUAGCUGUGCACUUGAAGUUUAUGAUAUGCAUAAUGUGAUUUUUGUUAGGAAGAUAGUUCUAUGAUAUAGUAUUAACAGUUUACUUUUUUUUUUCUUGUAGAAGUAUUUCCUUUUGCCUUUGCGAUUAUAUCUGGUGAAACUAUAGACAAUUGGAGAGAUUUGAUGGAGAAGGAAGGGUCGUGGGGACAUGCCCUUGAAUUUCGUGUUUUUAUUUUAUUUUAUAUUUAUAGUUAAGUUUGGGUUUU